Molecule: long non-coding RNA, 895 nt
Organism: Bufo gargarizans (Asiatic toad)
Lineage: Eukaryota; Metazoa; Chordata; Amphibia; Anura; Bufonidae
Exons: 4
Source: RefSeq, a predicted model, not a curated record
UGGACCCUGGGAGGCUUCUGAGGUUCUGAGGGACUCAUCUUUAUAAUGUACUUCAAUUAGUGGACGGCCAGACCCUGAGGGGCCGGACUACACUAUCCAGAUCACCGUUAAAGUAUCCUUACAUAUUGGAUGUGAGUUAAACAGACUCUGGACUACAUUAAUACAACCUGUUGUCUAGAGCACCACUAUUUAGAAGACUGCCAUUUGUUUCUCCUGGCAUCAACCACGAUCACGUAUGCGCUUUAUAUCUUGCCGUACUCCAAUAUCUACGGUUGAUGGCUGUCUGUGAGUUUCACAUGCCCGCUAUAUCAAGAUGCCCGAUCUUGUAUUUAUCCCUUUAGACCUCCCGGGAAUACUAUCUGGUCCAAUUCCCUUUCAUUUUUAACUUUAUAUGUUAUUUGACACCGCCUGCUAGACGGCUACCUGAUAGGGAUGCCAACAUUGUUUGGGUCUCCACCCGUCUGACAUGGUCUUUGCUCUAUUAUCCUUAUUGGUGAUUUAUCUUAUACGUAUCCACCCCCUGAUGAUCCCACAUGGUGGGGGAAACGCGUCGGGGCUUUACACAGACUUGAUCUGUGACAUAAUUUGACUAUCCUUCAUUCGGUGUCUUUAUGUAAUUAUAGUUUAGUUUAUUGCAUCGUGUACCUGUUGGUCCUCUGCAUCAACAGGGCUGUAUACGCCGUGCACUGUGUGUUAUUGAUCCUCUUUGUCCACGCCCAUACCGGCCCGCCACAGUCGACCCUGACUCUCAACCACCUCACUCGUUAGGGCACAUCAGGAGUGUCCAGUUAGGUUCGAGGACAGGGGGCCUCCACCAUCAGGAGUCGCCCCUGGGCUCAGGGCCGAGCAUUAGGGAUUUUAGCCUAGGGCUAUCUCCAACAUCCCCUCCCCCAAA